Molecule: ribosomal RNA, 1203 nt
Filed under: metagenome
Description: SSU rRNA
Rfam family: Eukaryotic small subunit ribosomal RNA
Source: RNAcentral
AAACCCUUUAACGAGGAUCUAUCAGAGGGCAAGUCUGGUGCCAGCAGCCGCGGUAAUUCCAGCUCUGAAGGUGUAUACCACCGUUGUUGCGGUUAAAACGCUCGUAGUUGGAUCUACGUUCGUGGGGUCGGUGUUCUCGUUUGAGUUCUACUGACUACCUGAACUGAAACAGCUGGUUUUCCCUCGGUGCUCUUUAUUGGGUGCCCUGGGUGGCUAGCAAGUUUACUUUGAAAAAAUUAGAGUGCUCAAAACAGGCGCAUGCCUGAAUAGUGGUGCAUGGAAUAAUGGAAUAGGAUCUUGGUCCUAUUUUGUUGGUUUUCGGGAGCCAAGAUAAUGAUUAAGAGGGACAGACGGGGGCAUUCGUAUUGCAGCGUUAGAGGUAAAAUUCUUGGAUCGUUGCAAGACGAACAACUGCGAAAGCAUUUGCCAAGAAUGUUUUCAUUAAUCAAGAACGAAAGUUAGAGGUUCGAAGGCGAUCAGAUACCGCCCUAGUUCUAACCGUAAACGAUGCCAACUCGCGAUCUAGUGGUGUUAUUUAUGACCCGCUAGGGAGCGUCCCGGAAACGAAAGCUUUUCGGUUCCGGGGGAAGUAUGGUUGCAAAUCUGAAACUUAAAGGAAUUGACGGAAGGGCACCACCAGGAGUGGAGCCUGCGGCUUAAUUUGACCCAACACGGGAAAACUCACCCGGCCCGGACACCGUAAGGAUUGACAGAUUGAGAGCUCUUUCUUGAUUCGGUGGGUGGUGGUGCAUGGCCGUUCUUAGUUGGUGGAGCGAUUUGUCUGGUUAAUUCCGAUAACGAACGAGACUCUAUCCUACUAAAUAGCAAGCGGAUCAGCCCAGUCCGCAGUGCUUCUUAGAGGGACAAGCAGCUUUUAGCUGCACGAAAGUGAGCAAUAACAGGUCUGUGAUGCCCUUAGAUGUCCGGGGCUGCACGCGCGCUACACUGAAAGGAUCAGCGUGCAAGAUACCUUCCCCGAGAGGGGUGGGUAACCCAAUCAAAACCUUUCGUGAUUGGGAUAGGAGAUUGCAAUUAUUCUCCUUGAACGAGGAAUUCCCAGUAUGUGUGGGUCAUCAGCUCGCGCUGAUUACGUCCCUGCCCUUUGUACACACCGCCCGUCGCUGCCCGGAACUGAGCCGUUUCGAGAAGAACAGGGACUGCUGUUUGGUGGCCUUCGGGUUGCCUCUUGGCGGAAACUGUUUU